RNAcentral lists this ribosomal RNA (253 nucleotides) under uncultured bacterium. RNAcentral's name for it is "partial 16S ribosomal RNA". It matches the Rfam family "Bacterial small subunit ribosomal RNA", at positions 524 to 776 of the family's 1533-position model. The record is from RNAcentral.
UACGUAGGGUACGAGCGUUGUCCGGAAUUAUUGGGCGUAAAGGGCUCGUAGGCGGUUUGUCGCGUCGGGAGUGAAAACCCAGGGCUUAACUCUGGGCUUGCUUUCGAUACGGGCAGACUAGAGGUAUGCAGGGGAGAACGGAACUCCUGGUGUAGCGGUGAAAUGCGCAGAUAUCAGGAGGAACACCGGUGGCGAAGGCGGUUCUCUGGGCAUUACCUGACGCUGAGGAGCGAAAGUGUGGGGAGCGAACAGG